GGGCUUGACAUCCCACGAACCUGCCUGAAAGGGCGGGGUGCCCGCAAGGGAGCGUGGAGACAGGUGGUGCAUGGCUGUCGUCAGCUCGUGUCGUGAGAUGUUGGGUUAAGUCCCGCAACGAGCGCAACCCUCACCCCUAGUUGCCACCGGGUAAUGCCGAGCACUCGAGGGGAACUGCCAGCGUCAAGCUGGAGGAAGGCGGGGAUGACGUCAAGUCAUCAUGCCCCUUACGCCCUGGGCUACACACGUGCUACAAUGGCCGGUACAAAGGGAUGCGAGACCGCGAGGUGGAGCCAAUCCCAAAAAGCUGGUCUAAGUUCGGAUUGCAGUCUGCAACUCGACUGCAUGAAGUAGGAAUCGCUAGUAAUCGCGCAUCAGCACGGCGCGGUGAAUACGUUCCCGGGCCUUGUACACACCGCCCGUCACACCACGAAAGCUGUCUGUACUCGAAGUCGCUGAG
This 460-nucleotide ribosomal RNA is filed under the name uncultured Methylomirabilota bacterium. RNAcentral's name for it is "bacterial SSU rRNA". It matches the Rfam family "Bacterial small subunit ribosomal RNA", at positions 977 to 1434 of the family's 1533-position model. Lineage: Bacteria; Methylomirabilota (SeqCode). The record is from RNAcentral.